GACGAACGCUGGCGGCGUGCUUAACACAUGCCAGUCGAACGGAAAGGCCCUGCUUUUGUGGGGUGCUCGAGUGGCGAACGGGUGAGUAACACGUGAGUAACCUGCCCUUGACUUUGGGAUAACUUCAGGAAACUGGGGCUAAUACCGGAUAGGAGCUCCUGCUGCAUGGUGGGGGUUGGAAAGUUUCGGCGGUUGGGGAUGGACUCGCGGCUUAUCAGCUUGUUGGUGGGGUAGUGGCUUACCAAGGCUUUGACGGGUAGCCGGCCUGGGAGGGUGACCGGGCACAUUGGGACUGAGAUACGGCCCAGACUCCUACGGGAGGCAGCAGUGGAGAAUAGUGCACAAUGGGCGGAAGCCUGAUGCAGCAACGCCGCGUGCGGGAUGACGGCCUUCGGGUUGUAAACCGCUUUCGCCUGUGACGAAGCGUGAGUGACGGUAAUGGAUAAAGAAGCACCGGCUAACUACGUG
This 468-nucleotide ribosomal RNA is filed under the name uncultured bacterium. Its description in RNAcentral is "partial 16S ribosomal RNA". It matches the Rfam family "Bacterial small subunit ribosomal RNA", at positions 28 to 507 of the family's 1533-position model. The record is from RNAcentral.